RNAcentral lists this ribosomal RNA (253 nucleotides) under uncultured bacterium. RNAcentral's name for it is "partial 16S ribosomal RNA". It matches the Rfam family "Bacterial small subunit ribosomal RNA", at positions 524 to 776 of the family's 1533-position model. The record is from RNAcentral.
UACAGAGGGUGCGAGCGUUGUUCGGAAUUAUUGGGCGUAAAGGGCGCGUAGGCGGUGCGGUAAGUCACCUGUGAAAUCCCCAGGCUUAACCUGGGGCCUGCAGUCGAAACUGCCGUGCUGGAGUAUGGGAGAGGUGCGUGGAAUUCCCGGUGUAGCGGUGAAAUGCGUAGAGAUCGGGAGGAACACCUGUGGCGAAGGCGGCGCACUGGACCGUAACUGACGCUGAGGCGCGAAAGCGUGGGGAGCAAACAGG